AUGCCGAACACGUCUGUACUAGCAGAUUCGCUGCAGGCCAUGACAACCCAUGGAGAUGCAAAACUGAAAGAUGUGAAGAACAUGAAUUUGUGUAAGUUUAUAGCCAACUUCCUGCACGAUGCAUUCUCAAGCAAGAUGUACCAAAAGGGUUGUCGACUGCAUUUAAUGCUCAUGUAUGUCAACUGUCUUGAUCUAUCCAUCGUGGAUUUCACUGGGACGGGAGGCCCGCGGCCUACGCACAAGUUUGCUGUUUCUGCAUGGACUAUCGAUGCUGUCAAGGCCGUGCUUGCUGCAGACAGGGUAACUGAUACCAAAUAUGGAAAACUGCAGCUGAUGGCCAAGCAUGCUAUAGACUGCAGCGUGUUUGGGGGGCCUCAGAACUUUGUAAAGUGGAUGGACGUGCACUUAGCUCCGUCUUGUCCUACUGAGGCGAGGGCACCUGUUGAGCAUCUAAUUGAGAAGUUUGCAUCCGGAAUGACCGGCUUGCUCAGGAAGUUGGUUGAGGGUUGGACGUCCCUUAACGGCUGUGACAGCGAUGCGGUCGCGAGGUAG
RNAcentral lists this ribosomal RNA (552 nucleotides) under Triticum aestivum (bread wheat). RNAcentral describes it as "partial small subunit ribosomal RNA". The record is from RNAcentral. Lineage: Eukaryota; Viridiplantae; Streptophyta; Magnoliopsida; Poales; Poaceae.